AAAUACAUGUUACUUGGUAUGGUUAAGCUACGGAAUGAAUUAGUAGAUCACAUGCGAAUAGCUGAUACUUAAAGCACCAUUAAUCUUGUUUAAGACCACGGAACAAAGGGGCUAGAUCUAUCGGGUACCGGGCGAGCCCCACUCACGAGUCCUUGUGUGACCACAUGGAGUUUCCUUUGUUACCCUCGCCGGGUGGACCGGUACUAAAUCGCUUACGGGUUGGUGGCUUCCUAU
RNAcentral lists this long non-coding RNA (234 nucleotides) under Helianthus annuus (common sunflower). Its description in RNAcentral is "sRNA HanXRQr2_Chr01g0014431". The record is from RNAcentral. Lineage: Eukaryota; Viridiplantae; Streptophyta; Magnoliopsida; Asterales; Asteraceae.